GAGUAUUCCUCGCAGGGGAAGAUCUUCACGGCCACAGUCUCGUACUGCCCCGAGCGGCUGUGGCUCAGCUUGGCCCUCCACACCUCGGCGAACUGCCCCUUGCCCACCAUCUCGUCCAGCUCGAUGGGCAGCAGCUCAGCGGGGCGGCUGCUGCUGGCUGGGCUCUCAUCCAUCAGCACGGACAGCUUCUCCUCCCGCUCGCCUGCCUUCCCCUGCUCCGGCAGCACCGGCGGCUGUCCCUGUUUGCCACCCCACGCCUUGGCUCGCUUGCGUCGCCUCUGCGUGCGGCAGAGGUAAAAUAUCACCGUGACCAUCACCGCCACCAGCAGCGGGGGCAGCAGGCUGAUGGCAGCCACUGGGAUCACCUCUUUGCUCUGCAGCAUGGAGUAGCCUGAGGGGAGGAAAGCAAAGGCGAGGUGCUGCUGCUGCGGGUCUGCCACAGCUCGUUUUCAUCACGCGGAGGAGGAAAAUAUGCAAAGCUGUUAAUGGAGCGCAGCCCUUCCCGGGGCCGCACAAGGGCUCAUCCCCACACAGAGCCCAGAUGUAAGCACUUAGCAAGGGGGGUGACUGGUUUUGGUCUCAUAUUUAGCUCCAUUUAUCAACAGAAGACACAGGCCAUCACCACUUGGAUGGGACAGUGUGCCACAAGAGACUGCAAAGGGCAUUUUGGGGGGGUCCCAAGCGCUGCUUGCGCUUGUGGCAAGGGGAGCUUGGCUGGAAAUAACAAUGAUAAAUCUGAGACAAGGCUCAAACAAAGCAAAUCUCUGAGAGGGCUUGGGGCUGGGGCUUUGCUGGACCCCUGUGGUACACAGAGAGUCAGGAGUGAUGCUGGAGGUAGCAGUGUGCAGGACCACCCAGCUCAGGGGCGUGCUGGGAUGCUUUGCAGGAUAAUUAGCACACGGGAGCAUCAUUUCAGCAAUUUUGUCUGCCAGUGCUGGCAUCUCCUUCCUCCUUACAGGAGCAACCCCAACAAUCACCAGGGCAUGGCUGCAUUUGUUUCAUUUCUUUUAAAACCCCUGUUGGCCUUCAGAUUGAGAGGGGGAGGACACACACACAAAGCCAUAACCCUCACACAACAUAUAAUUGUCUGAUCCUUUGAUGUUCAUGAUUCCUGGAAUAAACAUGCUGACUUCAGUAGAGAUAUUCAAGUAAAAUCUUACUCAGAGGUUUUUCUGCCAAGUAUAAUAACCCAGGGGAAGAGGGAUAAGAAUCAUUCCAUAAGCAAAACUCUCGCUGCUUGACCUCAGUGUGUGCAGAUCAUAAUUCAGGUUCUGGAAAAACAGAGCAUUUAGCUAUUUUCCUUGGCAAAUUUCAAAAAAAUGUGCUGCAGCUAAUUUCUGCAAGGCUGUGAAAGCGUUUCUAAAAUAGGCAUCAGGUUUAAACCACAAGAUCAACCCAAACUGAUAUAAAUCAAUAACUAACUCAGGAAUAUGUUUAUUUUGGAAAGUAUUGGGCUUGGAUAUCACCUACUGCUUUAAUGGAUUUACCCGAUGCUUUGGAUCCCGUCUUUGAAACUCUGAAGAAAGAGAAGAUCUUUUUAAGGGAGUUGCGUGCACAAGUCCCGAAAAGGGGAAGUUAACACAACUUCAGGAAAUUCCUGCAUGAGGAUGCCCCUUCCUGAUGGAAGUCUUUUGAUACACAGGGGCUGCAGCAGGGCUUAGACCCUUCUAUGGAGAGCACAUGUAGUUGAGCUGGCAGUAACCACAGGUCUGUAAACCCACACCUUGCUGAGCAUUGCUGCAUGGGUCUGUCCAUCCCUGCUGAGGGGAUAUGGACCACCAGGGCCGGGCUCAGCUGGAGCACAGGUGGAAAGCACUUGCCAUGCUCCACCCUACCCAGCAUCUUCCCGAGGUCUCACCUGGACUUCUGUGUGCACAGCUGUAGGAAAUGAUGGCUCUGUGUGCUCAUUAGCAUGGUGUCUGGGCUCUGAUGGAGUCCCCUGCAUCCCUAGUGCAAGGGCAAUGCCACCCAGCAGCCCAGACCCGAAAGCAAAGCUUAAGGAAUCAAGAAACAGGAAAAAAAAAUCUGUCUGCUUCAGCAGACGAGAAGUGCUCGUUUCUCUGCUCAGGAGUUGUCUAGACCAUUGAACAUGACAAUAAUUUAAUAUUUUGAAUGCAAAUGAUCCCUUAAAGCUGAAGGAAAGGAUGUAAAGAAUGGGGUCUGUGAGCCUGGGGUUUGCCUAGGCUGGCCCCUGGCCCAUACCUAAGAGGAGAGGUAUGGGCUGCACUGGUCUUGCUCCGACUUCCAGCGCUUUCCGCGCUGGCUGACAGGAGGAGGCUGGUUAUGGAGCCUUUGCUGGGGGUGGCAUUUCCAAUGAGCCACUUGUCAUUUUUGUGUGAAAUUGCAUAUCCCGGCACCAGCUUUGGGAUUUGACUGUCUCUCCCUAGAAGUGUGUGUACCUGUUAUGUUUGGCUGGGGAAGCAGCAAAGAACCGCCAAAUUUAGCAUCACUUGCCUCCAUUAAAGUGGCUUGUUUGUUCAGAGAAUUUGCAUUUCAUGUGAUGUUUUUCUUUUUUCCUUAUAUUGCAGGAGAAGCUAUACCACUGGCUCGCAGGUUCUGCUUAGGCUCAUUUUCAGUAUCUCCUUAUGUGAUUAUGGAAAAUUUGAGGCAUUUCAUUUUGCUUUUGUUACAGGUUGGAUUGUUGAUGGACACUUGGAUAAACCUGGUCCACUUGGAACUGGGGAGGUUCAGACAAUCCCCCAAAGGCUCUGGUUGGAAAUAUUUCCAAAGCAUACGACCCUCCUGAGGAGCAGCCUCUGCCUCCUGACCUGGAGGUGCAAACCUGAGAGUGAAGGGAUGGAGAGGUGUCACCAUGUCUUUGAGGUAAUUUGACAGAGGAGCUCUCUGUCAAAUGAGGAUGAGGAGUCCUGUGAGGGUGAGAUCCCUUCUGCUAAGGCUGGGCCCUGGAGCACAUGAGCGUGAGGCCAAAGCUGCUGCUGUGACUGAGAUACCCACUCAGGACAAGUUUGGAUGAUCCACAAAUGCCUCUGCAAGUGAGCAGCAGGCAGCAAGGCUGGCCUGGAGGUGAUCUUAUUCUCUGGCUGAAUCUUAGAAUAGGACGGGAGGUGCUGGGAGGGGUUGGCAGGGUAUUUGUGACUGUGUAGCUGCCUCACCCCAUCCAAUCCACAUUGCAGGAUGCAGCUCCAUCCUGUGCAGUGGGAUUGCUUCCCUGGCAUGGGGAUUCCUGCUGCAGGGGCCUUGCUUUUUCCUGUAAAUGGGAAAAACCCAGUGACACACUGGAUUGCCUAGCCAGGAUUUAAGGUGGCUUCUCCAUGUGUGCGUAGGGGAAUUUGGGGCAGGGGGUGGAUUUUGUUAUUUGUUUGUUUGGGUUUCUUGUUGUGUUUUGCUUUUUAAAAGUCCAUAAUGCAACAAUUAGGUUGAGGCAAACUCCUACUGAAAGCUGGCAUACAGCAUUCAUGCUAAUUAGCAGGUUGAGAUAAAGCCUAGCGAUAAGUGCUUGGCUGGCUUUCACUUUGGCAGCCAAAUUAAAAGGGAAAGUGGAGGAAAAUCACUCUGGGCAGACCCAAAAUGGAUGCUUUUUUAGUUUUGCUCACGGGGCCCAAAAAGCUGGGGGAGGCACUCUUCCGGGCCAAACCAUGCAGGGUGUGCUUGGCCAGAAAUGCAAGAUCGUGUUUCCUGUCCAGGCACCUCUCACAGGAACAGAAAAGGACUUUUUCCAGGGGAUAGGAAAGAGGUGGGUUAAACCCAGUGGGUUAACCCCAGUGCAGUGCCAGCCUAGUUGUCCAUGUGCUGGAUGGGGACUGACCCUGGCUGCACCCCUGCAUGUGAACUGAGGUUUCACCCACCCCUGAUGCAAGAG
Molecule: long non-coding RNA, 3820 nt
Organism: Passer domesticus (house sparrow)
Lineage: Eukaryota; Metazoa; Chordata; Aves; Passeriformes; Passeridae
Exons: 3
Source: RefSeq, a predicted model, not a curated record